CAGUAGCCGCGGUAAUACGUAGGGUGCGAGCGUUAAUCGGAAUUACUGGGCGUAAAGCGUGCGCAGGCGGUUGUGUAAGACAGGUGUGAAAUCCCCGGGCUUAACCUGGGUACUGCGCUUGUGACUGCACAGCUAGAGUAUGGCAGAGGGGGGUAGAAUUCCACGUGUAGCAGUGAAAUGCGUAGAGAUGUGGAGGAACACCGAUGGCGAAGGCAGCCCCCUGGGCCAAUACUGACGCUCAUGCACGAAAGCGUGGGGAGCAAACAGGAUUAGAUACCCGCGUAGUCCCUGUCUCUUAUAC
RNAcentral lists this ribosomal RNA (301 nucleotides) under uncultured bacterium. RNAcentral's name for it is "partial 16S ribosomal RNA". It matches the Rfam family "Bacterial small subunit ribosomal RNA", at positions 509 to 807 of the family's 1533-position model. The record is from RNAcentral.